Molecule: long non-coding RNA, 422 nt
Organism: Astatotilapia calliptera (eastern happy)
Lineage: Eukaryota; Metazoa; Chordata; Actinopteri; Cichliformes; Cichlidae
Source: Ensembl
GAUGCACUCAAGGUUUUCAUAUUUGAUUUCAAGUUCAAUGGAAAACAGUUAUGUGUUGAUGCUACCAGAGAGGACGGCUCACUUGGCAGACUUGUAAAUGACGAUAAUGUGAAUCCAAACAGUAAAAUGACAGUUACCAGAGUGGAUGGAAGGCCCCAUCUGUUUGUUUGCAAUCAAAGAUAUUUGUCCAGGAGAAGAAAUCACCUAUAACUAUGGUGAUUCCAACUGGCCAUGGAGAAGCAAGAAAUCCAACAUGGUGCCAUCUCAGGCUGUGGAUGAGAAUGCAGCCAGUUCCUCUCCUAACGACGCAACAAAGGACUGCGAUCAUGAUCUAGUCCCUGACGAAAUGUCAAGUUUAGAAAAAUGUUUUGCAUGUGGAGGACCUUUUUCGCCUCUGAAAUGGAGUGGUGUGAGAUGUGAAG